CCUACGGGUGGCAGCAGUGGGGAAUAUUGCACAAUGGGCGCAAGCCUGAUGCAGCGACGCCGCGUGGGGGAUGAAGGCCUUCGGGUUGUAAACUCCUUUCGCUAGGGACGAAGCUUUUUGUGACGGUACCUAGAUAAGAAGCACCGGCUAACUACGUGCCAGCAGCCGCGGUAAUACGUAGGGUGCGAGCGUUGUCCGGAAUUACUGGGCGUAAAGGGCUCGUAGGUGGUUUGUCGCGUCGUCUGUGAAAUGCUGGGGCUUAACUCCGGGCGUGCAGGCGAAGAGGUCAUAACUGGAGUGCUAUAGGGGUAACUGGAAGUCCUGGUGUAGCGGUAAAAUGCGCAGAUAUGAGGAUGAACACCGAUGGCGAAGGCAGGUUACUGGGCAGUUACUGACGCUGAGGAGCGAAGGCAUGGGUAGCGAACAGGAUUAGAUACCCCUGUAGUC
This 447-nucleotide ribosomal RNA is filed under the name uncultured Corynebacterium sp. RNAcentral's name for it is "bacterial SSU rRNA". It matches the Rfam family "Bacterial small subunit ribosomal RNA", at positions 338 to 795 of the family's 1533-position model. Lineage: Bacteria; Bacillati; Actinomycetota; Actinomycetes; Mycobacteriales; Corynebacteriaceae. The record is from RNAcentral.